This 468-nucleotide ribosomal RNA is filed under the name uncultured bacterium. RNAcentral describes it as "partial 16S ribosomal RNA". It matches the Rfam family "Bacterial small subunit ribosomal RNA", at positions 28 to 507 of the family's 1533-position model. The record is from RNAcentral.
GACGAACGCUGGCGGCGUGCUUAACACAUGCAAGUCGAACGGAAAGGCCCUGCUUUUGUGGGGUGCUCGAGUGGCGAACGGGUGAGUAACACGUGAGUAACCUGCCCUUGACUUUGGGAUAACGUCAGGAAACUGGGGCUAAUACCGGAUAGGAGCUCCUGCUGCAUGGUGGGGGUUGGAAAGUUUUGGCGGUUGGGGAUGGACUCGCGGCUUAUCAGCUUGUUGGUGGGGUAGUGGCUUACCAAGGCUUUGACGGGUAGCCGGCCUGAGAGGGUGACCGGCCACAUUGGGACUGAGAUACGGCCCAGACUCCUACGGGAGGCAGCAGUGGGGAAUAUUGCACAAUGGGCGGAAGCCUGAUGCAGCAACGCCGCGUGCGGGAUGACGGCCUUCGGGUUGUAAACCGCUUUCGCCUGUGACGAAGCGUGAGUGACGGUAAUGGGUAAAGAAGCACCGGCUAACUACGUG